Molecule: ribosomal RNA, 450 nt
Filed under: uncultured bacterium
Lineage: Bacteria
Description: partial 16S ribosomal RNA
Rfam family: Bacterial small subunit ribosomal RNA
Source: RNAcentral
GUGGGGAAUAUUGGACAAUGGGCGAAAGCCUGAUCCAGCCAUGCCGCGUGUGUGAAGAAGGUCUUCGGAUUGUAAAGCACUUUAAGUUGGGAGGAAGGGCAGUAAGUUAAUACCUUGCUGUUUUGACGUUACCGACAGAAUAAGCACCGGCUAACUUCGUGCCAGCAGCCGCGGUAAUACGAAGGGUGCAAGCGUUAAUCGGAAUUACUGGGCGUAAAGCGCGCGUAGGUGGUUUUGUAAGUUGGAGGUGAAAUCCCCGGGCUCAACCUGGGAACUGCCUCGAAGAGUGCAUGACUAGAGUACGGUAAAGGGUAAUGGAAUUUCCUGUGUAGCGGUGAAAUGCGUAGAUAUAGGAAGGAACACCAGUGGCGAAGGCGACUACCUGGACUGAUACUGACACUAAGGUGCGAAAGCGUGGGGAGCAAACAGGAUUAGAUACCCGAUUAGUCC